Molecule: ribosomal RNA, 531 nt
Filed under: Triticum aestivum (bread wheat)
Lineage: Eukaryota; Viridiplantae; Streptophyta; Magnoliopsida; Poales; Poaceae
Description: partial small subunit ribosomal RNA
Source: RNAcentral
GCUACUCUCCUCAUAGGAUACUUAUCAAAAGCUCAAUUUUGUACUGGAUCGGGGCAUCCUAUUAGUAAACCCAUUUGGACAGAUUUAUCAGAUUGGGAUAUUCUUGAUCGAUUUGGUUGGAUAUGUAGAAAUCUUUUUCAUUAUCAUAGUGGAUCUUCAAAAAAACGGACUUUGUAUCGACUAAAGUAUAUACUUGGACUUUCAUGCGCUAGAACUUUAGCUCGUAAACAUAAAAGCACGGUACGAACUUUUAUGCAACGGUUGGGUUCGGCAUUUUUAGAAGAAUUUUUUUCUACAGGACCCAAAUUGUCAACAGGCUCGCCAAGAACGUUGAAAAUUCGUCCAAGAGUAGCUCCACCGACCGAAACACUGAGAGGAGCUCCCGUGUCAAUCACUUCCAUUCCUCUCAUCAACCCGUCCGUAGCACUCAUAGCUACAGCUCUAACUCGAUUAUUUCCUAAUAAUUGUUGUACCUCACAAGUCAGUUCAAACAUCCGGCUCAAGGACAACCUGUCUCUCGCAAAGUUUUGA